This 460-nucleotide ribosomal RNA is filed under the name uncultured Mollicutes bacterium. Its description in RNAcentral is "bacterial SSU rRNA". It matches the Rfam family "Bacterial small subunit ribosomal RNA", at positions 920 to 1378 of the family's 1533-position model. Lineage: Bacteria; Bacillati; Mycoplasmatota; Mollicutes. The record is from RNAcentral.
AACCCGCACAAGCGGUGGAGUAUGUUGUUUAAUUCGAAGAUACACGAAGAACCUUACCAGGUCUUGACAUACCAUUGACAGGUGUAGAGAUACACUCUCCUUCGGGCAAUGGAUACAGGUGGUGCAUGGUUGUCGUCAGCUCGUGCCGUGAGGUGUUGGGUUAAGUCCCGCAACGAGCGCAACCCUCAUUGUUAGUUACUACCAUUUAGUUGAGGACUCUAAUGAGACUGCCAACGAUAAGUUGGAGGAAGUGGGGAUGACGUCAAGUCAUCAUGCCCUUUAUGACCUGGGCUACAAACGUACUACAAUGGCCAAUACAAAGAGAUGCGAAGCGGUGACGUGGAGCGAACCUCAGAAAGUUGGUCUCAGUUCAGAUUGAAGUCUGCAACUCGACUUCAUGAAGGCGGAAUCGCUAGUAAUCGCGGAUCAGCACGCCGCGGUGAAUACGUUCCCGGGCCUU